Molecule: long non-coding RNA, 657 nt
Organism: Prionailurus viverrinus (fishing cat)
Lineage: Eukaryota; Metazoa; Chordata; Mammalia; Carnivora; Felidae
Exons: 3
Source: RefSeq, a predicted model, not a curated record
GCUGGGGCUCGUGAAAGCUGCCCACGAUGGCAAAGCAGGUAUGUAAGCAUUUUACUAGGGCCAGGCGAAUGCCAUGGAAAGCAGCCAGCUUAACUUAUCUGCUCAAAUGGACUGGGGUACCACGAGGUACAGACACUGAGAGAAGUCACAAGAGGUUAGUAGAGUGCCUUGCCAAGUCAGGGUCUCUAAUGAAAGCCACCAUUUGGAUCCUACUAUUUGUAGGGCCUUCAACAGCUAAAAGGACACCAAGAACAGCAUCUGCCACGAGAUCUCCCAUCCUUCUCACUACUCUAACCUUGGAAUAUCCAUUGGCAAUUAGGCGAGUCAGCAACACUGUGAGAUGGAUGGGGUGAGCCCUGCAUGACAGACGGGACCCAGAGAACGGGAAAGGUCACCAGCUUACCCAGACCGAGGAGAGGCUUUUCCUGCUGGCUUCAAAGAAAGUAAGUUUCUAGGCCAUGUUAGGACCUGAGGGUGGCCUUGAGGAGAUGCAUGGACUGUCAGCCAGCGAAGAAACAGGGACCUCAGUACCGCAACCAAAACUCAAAAUCUACCAACAACCUCAAGGAGGAUGAAAGGACAGCCCAGACUCAGAAAGAACUCGGUCCAGCCAACACGUUGAUUUUAGCCUCAUAAGACCCUGAGCGGAAAAUCCAG